RNAcentral lists this long non-coding RNA (491 nucleotides) under Scophthalmus maximus (turbot). RNAcentral's name for it is "lncRNA (ENSSMAG00000035934.1)". Lineage: Eukaryota; Metazoa; Chordata; Actinopteri; Pleuronectiformes; Scophthalmidae. The record is from RNAcentral.
GCUAGCUAACAUGCAGCUCUGCACCACGAAAGGUGUCGUGUGGAAAAUGCAUCUUUCUCUGCUGAGAGAUAACCGAGGAGCUGGGGUAUCCCUUACACACCGAGCAAGAAAUGGAUGAUCAGAGGAAGAAAGAGACAAGGAGGCAGUGCGUGGCUGAAAAGUGUGAGGUAGAUAUGAGAGUGUGUACAGGCUGUGAGAGAAAUACUUCAUAAUCAUUUGGUGAGAGGGGACUUGUGGGGAGAGAAGGCAGUAUGGUGGCUGGUGUCCUCUGCGUAGUGGUGGGUUAAUCUAGAGUGGAGAGGUGGUGCUCAAUAGCUCUGACAGGGGGGAAAAAGUUGGAGAAUCUUGUGGAAAAGUAGAUGCCGAUGGAAAACCCAUGAAAAAAGCAACAGUAGACAAGAAGAAAAACAAAUCCGAGUGCUGCUAAAGAGACAAGAGGAGAGACUGAGAGGUCCGGGAUUGGAAAAAAGAGGGAGAGGGAGAUUGAAAGA